GUGUCAGCCGCCGCGGUAAUACGGAGGGAGCUAGCGUUGUUCGGAAUUACUGGGCGUAAAGCGCGCGUAGGCGGUCUAUUAAGUCAGGGGUGAAAUCCCGGGGCUCAACCCCGGAACUGCCCUUGAAACUGGCAGACUAGAAUCUUGGAGAGGCGAGUGGAAUUCCGAGUGUAGAGGUGAAAUUCGUAGAUAUUCGGAAGAACACCAGUGGCGAAGGCGACUCGCUGGACAAGUAUUGACGCUGAGGUGCGAAAGCGUGGGGAGCAAACAGGAUUAGAUACCCUAGUAGUCC
RNAcentral lists this ribosomal RNA (292 nucleotides) under uncultured bacterium. Its description in RNAcentral is "partial 16S ribosomal RNA". It matches the Rfam family "Bacterial small subunit ribosomal RNA", at positions 505 to 796 of the family's 1533-position model. The record is from RNAcentral.